GGGUUGUGAGGUUAAGCGACUAAGCGUACACGGUGGAUGCCCUGGCAGUCAGAGGCGAUGAAGGACGUGCUAAUCUGCGAUAAGCGUCGGUAAGGUGAUAUGAACCGUUAUAACCGGCGAUUUCCGAAUGGGGAAACCCAGUGUGUUUCGACACACUAUCAUUAACUGAAUCCAUAGGUUAAUGAGGCGAACCGGGGGAACUGAAACAUCUAAGUACCCCGAGGAAAAGAAAUCAACCGAGAUUCCCCCAGUAGCGGCGAGCGAACGGGGAGGAGCCCAGAGUCUGAAUCAGUGUGUGUGUUAGUGGAAGCGUCUGGAAAGGCGCGCGAUACAGGGUGACAGCCCCGUACACAAAAAUGCACAUACUGUGAGCUCGAUGAGUAGGGCGGGACACGUGGUAUCCUGUCUGAAUAUGGGGGGACCAUCCUCCAAGGCUAAAUACUCCUGACUGACCGAUAGUGAACCAGUACCGUGAGGGAAAGGCGAAAAGAACCCCGGCGAGGGGAGUGAAAAAGAACCUGAAACCGUGUACGUACAAGCAGUGGGAGCCUCUUUUAUGGGGUGACUGCGUACCUUUUGUAUAAUGGGUCAGCGACUUAUAUUCUGUAGCAAGGUUAACCGAAUAGGGGAGCCGAAGGGAAACCGAGUCUUAACUGGGCGUUAAGUUGCAGGGUAUAGACCCGAAACCCGGUGAUCUAGCCAUGGGCAGGUUGAAGGUUGGGUAACACUAACUGGAGGACCGAACCGACUAAUGUUGAAAAAUUAGCGGAUGACUUGUGGCUGGGGGUGAAAGGCCAAUCAAACCGGGAGAUAGCUGGUUCUCCCCGAAAGCUAUUUAGGUAGCGCCUCGUGAAUUCAUCUCCGGGGGUAGAGCACUGUUUCGGCAAGGGGGUCAUCCCGACUUACCAACCCGAUGCAAACUGCGAAUACCGGAGAAUGUUAUCACGGGAGACACACGGCGGGUGCUAACGUCCGUCGUGAAGAGGGAAACAACCCAGACCGCCAGCUAAGGUCCCAAAGUCAUGGUUAAGUGGGAAACGAUGUGGGAAGGCCCAGACAGCCAGGAUGUUGGCUUAGAAGCAGCCAUCAUUUAAAGAAAGCGUAAUAGCUCACUGGUCGAGUCGGCCUGCGCGGAAGAUGUAACGGGGCUAAACCAUGCACCGAAGCUGCGGCAGCGACGCUUAUGCGUUGUUGGGUAGGGGAGCGUUCUGUAAGCCUGUGAAGGUGUGCUGUGAGGCAUGCUGGAGGUAUCAGAAGUGCGAAUGCUGACAUAAGUAACGAUAAAGCGGGUGAAAAGCCCGCUCGCCGGAAGACCAAGGGUUCCUGUCCAACGUUAAUCGGGGCAGGGUGAGUCGACCCCUAAGGCGAGGCCGAAAGGCGUAGUCGAUGGGAAACAGGUUAAUAUUCCUGUACUUGGUGUUACUGCGAAGGGGGGACGGAGAAGGCUAUGUUGGCCGGGCGACGGUUGUCCCGGUUUAAGCGUGUAGGCUGGUUUUCCAGGCAAAUCCGGAAAAUCAAGGCUGAGGCGUGAUGACGAGGCACUACGGUGCUGAAGCAACAAAUGCCCUGCUUCCAGGAAAAGCCUCUAAGCAUCAGGUAACAUCAAAUCGUACCCCAAACCGACACAGGUGGUCAGGUAGAGAAUACCAAGGCGCUUGAGAGAACUCGGGUGAAGGAACUAGGCAAAAUGGUGCCGUAACUUCGGGAGAAGGCACGCUGAUAUGUAGGUGAAGUCCCUUGCGGAUGGAGCUGAAAUCAGUCGAAGAUACCAGCUGGCUGCAACUGUUUAUUAAAAACACAGCACUGUGCAAACACGAAAGUGGACGUAUACGGUGUGACGCCUGCCCGGUGCCGGAAGGUUAAUUGAUGGGGUCAGCGCAAGCGAAGCUCUUGAUCGAAGCCCCGGUAAACGGCGGCCGUAACUAUAACGGUCCUAAGGUAGCGAAAUUCCUUGUCGGGUAAGUUCCGACCUGCACGAAUGGCGUAAUGAUGGCCAGGCUGUCUCCACCCGAGACUCAGUGAAAUUGAACUCGCUGUGAAGAUGCAGUGUACCCGCGGCAAGACGGAAAGACCCCGUGAACCUUUACUAUAGCUUGACACUGAACAUUGAGCCUUGAUGUGUAGGAUAGGUGGGAGGCUUUGAAGUGUGGACGCCAGUCUGCAUGGAGCCGACCUUGAAAUACCACCCUUUAAUGUUUGAUGUUCUAACGUGGACCCGUGAUCCGGGUUGCGGACAGUGUCUGGUGGGUAGUUUGACUGGGGCGGUCUCCUCCUAAAGAGUAACGGAGGAGCACGAAGGUUGGCUAAUCCUGGUCGGACAUCAGGAGGUUAGUGCAAUGGCAUAAGCCAGCUUGACUGCGAGCGUGACGGCGCGAGCAGGUGCGAAAGCAGGUCAUAGUGAUCCGGUGGUUCUGAAUGGAAGGGCCAUCGCUCAACGGAUAAAAGGUACUCCGGGGAUAACAGGCUGAUACCGCCCAAGAGUUCAUAUCGACGGCGGUGUUUGGCACCUCGAUGUCGGCUCAUCACAUCCUGGGGCUGAAGUAGGUCCCAAGGGUAUGGCUGUUCGCCAUUUAAAGUGGUACGCGAGCUGGGUUUAGAACGUCGUGAGACAGUUCGGUCCCUAUCUGCCGUGGGCGCUGGAGAACUGAGGGGGGCUGCUCCUAGUACGAGAGGACCGGAGUGGACGCAUCACUGGUGUUCGGGUUGUCAUGCCAAUGGCACUGCCCGGUAGCUAAAUGCGGAAGAGAUAAGUGCUGAAAGCAUCUAAGCACGAAACUUGCCCCGAGAUGAGUUCUCCCUGACCCUUUAAGGGUCCUGAAGGAACGUUGAAGACGACGACGUUGAUAGGCCGGGUGUGUAAGCGCAGCGAUGCGUUGAGCUAACCGGUACUAAUGAACCGUGAGGCUUAACCUUACAACGCCGAAGGUGUUU
This 2931-nucleotide ribosomal RNA is filed under the name Escherichia coli. Its description in RNAcentral is "bacterial LSU rRNA". It matches the Rfam family "Bacterial large subunit ribosomal RNA". Lineage: Bacteria; Pseudomonadati; Pseudomonadota; Gammaproteobacteria; Enterobacterales; Enterobacteriaceae. The record is from RNAcentral.